GUUGAUAUGUCCGAGUUGGUCUAAGGCGUCAGAUUAAGGUUCCGGUCAGAAAGGGCGUGUGUUCAAAUCCCACUGUCAACA
RNAcentral lists this transfer RNA (81 nucleotides) under Nicotiana sylvestris (wood tobacco). It matches the Rfam family "tRNA". Rfam says of the family: Transfer RNA (tRNA) molecules are approximately 80 nucleotides in length. Their secondary structure includes four short double-helical elements and three loops (D, anti-codon, and T loops). Further hydrogen bonds mediate the characteristic L-shaped molecular structure. tRNAs have two regions of fundamental functional importance: the anti-codon, which is responsible for specific mRNA codon recognition, and the 3' end, to which the tRNAs corresponding amino acid is attached (by aminoacyl-tRNA synthetases). tRNAs cope with the degeneracy of the genetic code in two manners: having more than one tRNA (with a specific anti-codon) for a particular amino acid; and 'wobble' base-pairing, i.e. permitting non-standard base-pairing at the 3rd anti-codon position. The record is from Rfam by way of RNAcentral. Lineage: Eukaryota; Viridiplantae; Streptophyta; Magnoliopsida; Solanales; Solanaceae.